Molecule: ribosomal RNA, 818 nt
Filed under: uncultured bacterium
Lineage: Bacteria
Description: bacterial SSU rRNA
Rfam family: Bacterial small subunit ribosomal RNA
Source: RNAcentral
UGCAGUCGAGCGGACAGAUGGGAGCUUGCUCCCUGAUGUCAGCGGCGGACGGGUGAGUAACACGUGGGUAACCUGCCUGUAAGACUGGGAUAACUCCGGGAAACCGGGGCUAAUACCGGAUGCUUGAUUGAACCGCAUGGUUCAAUUAUAAAAGGUGGCUUUCACCUACAACUUACCAAUGGACCCGCGGCGCAUUAGCUAGUUGGUGAGGUAACGGCUCACCAAGGCAACAAUGCGUAACCAACCUGAAAGGGUGAUCGGCCACACGGGGACUGAAACACGGCCCAAACUCCUACGGGAGGCGGCAGUAGGGAAUCUUCCGCAAGGGACAAAAGUCUGACGGACCAGCGCCCCGUGAUUGAUGAAGGUUUUCGGAUCGUAAAACUCUGUUGUUAGGGAAAAACAAGUACCGUUCGAAUAGGGCGGUACCUUGACGGUACCUAACCAGAAAGCCACGGCUAACUACUUGCCAGCAGCCGCGGUAAUACGUAGGUGGCAAGCGUUGUCCGGAAUUAUUGGGCGUAAAGCGCGCGCAGGCGGUUUCUUAAGUCUGAUGUGAAAGCCCCCGGCUCAACCGGGGAGGGUCAUUGGAAACUGGGGAACUUGAGUGCAAAAAAGGAGAGUGGAAUUCCACGUGUAGCGGUGAAAUGCGUAAAAGAUGUGGAGGAACACCGGUGGCGAAGGCGACUCUCUGGUCUGUAACUGACGCUAAGGCGCGAAGCGUGGGGAGCGAACAGGAUUAAAAUACCCUGGUAUCCACGCUUAAACAUAAGUGCUGACUGUUAGAGGGUUUCCGCCCUUUAUGCUGCAGCAAACGC